AUUUUAUUAGUUAAAUCUAUGAUCAAAAUUUAGCACAAAAACGAAGGGGAUCAAUAAAUCAGGACGGAGACAGUAUUGUUGGGUGCAGAAAUCUCCAUUGGUGCUGUGAAUGAAGGUCCUAGAAUACGUUAUUGCCUACGCGCUUUGGUCAAGGAUGAUUGAUUAUCUGCUCGGCACAGGCCACGUUCCCACCGCAUGCCCGCAAUGCGAGUAUUGUGGGACAACUGUUAUACUGAUGUUUAAAUUUCUAGUAUCAUUGGAUGCCAGAAAUCGACUCCAUCUUUCAACUGAGAUGCAAAUCGCCAUUUAUUGAGAUUACUCAAGAGGUUGGGAAACUAAUCGGCAAGUUUUGAAUCAAUCCAAGUCUAUGAGAAAUCGUCCCCAUGCACUCAUUUUCAAUUUUGUUGCUAGUGAUCACAAUUAGCAUACUUCUACAAGGAAAGUUCCUGUAAAAAAAAAAUUAGAAACCUCACCAAGCAACAUUUUUUGCCAAUAUAACUGAAAGCUCACUAGGAAAAAAAAUCAUAGAAGGCUCAACCCCUUUUAGAUUUCAAACGCAGAACUACGCUAACAAAGCACUACUCGAAAGAUAUAAGCACGUGUGUGACUACAUAUUUGAACUUUAUAAACCCUUGUAGACGAGGUCCUUGUCCAAAGCUAUAAGUAGACCAUCCAGAUGUUCUGCAUGAUUCAUCCUUAUGCUAACGAAAUUAGAGUAGCAUGUAUACACCGUGCGGCCAUCCUUGUUGCUCGAGCCUCCUACACAGAGAACCGUCUCAAUAUUCCCCACCUCGUCUUACUACCACAAAACUGUAUCAAUCUGCAAAAUAUGUUCAAUUAAGCUAUAUUUUGCAAUGUGACCAAAUGAAUUGACCCAUAAAUCUCAAUGCGUCAAAAGAACGACAUCCAUGUGCAAAAGUUAACUUCGGAAACGCUGGAUGUUAUGAGCCAUACGUUAUAAACAUUGAACAGUAAAUAUAACGACACAAACAAAAUCUUAAUAGACGUGUAACAGUAAGACCGACAAGGCACGACAUAACACAACAGGCAUUUGCCCAUGCAAAUAGGAUCAUGAUAAGCACUUCAAGCACCUAAUGCGCUUGCAACUAACCCGGUUCUACUUCCUCACAUGUCACAAUGCUAUAAAGAUCCACCAUAAAAGCCAUGCCCUUCAAAUAAAAGAAGAAGCACACAGGAAGAAGGGCAUCAAGUUGUCAGAAAAGGUUGCAAGGGAUAUACAUAGAGUUCAGGUCUCCUGAGCAAUCUUUCCCCUCAGGCAUUUACAACCAGCGGUUGCGCACACCUACAACGUCACAACUGAAACACAAACUGAGAAAAAAAUGUGCAUAUCCACACAGACACAACUACCUCUCUACAACAAUUCUCCCGUUUCAGGUCAGAUUAUUGGAAGUAUAAGGACUUGUUGAAAAGCAUGAGUUAGACAAAGCUCAAAAGGCAAGAAGGAACCAUAAAAGGCUUAUCCAAACUAGAGAUGUAAUUCCAUAAGAGGUUUAGUUAUGAACCAACGAAAAUUGGCACUUUGUGGAGAAUGAAAGAUCUAAAUGACUAUAAAGAAAUAUAAAGUCAUGUCAAUACCAACAAUUGGUGCAUCGACUUAAUUUCAUGUAAACAUGUUUUGAACAAACGGGAACCGACACUGCAACCGUAAGCUUCUCUGCAUAAUCAAUAGGGUAACUCAUGAAAGGAAAGAACCCAUCUAUGUAAACCAAAUCUGUACAACUUUAUUAGACUACAAACAUACAAAAAGUAAACAAAAGAAAAGGAACAAGCAGAGCACAUCCAUAUCACCUAGUUGCAUUCAUAUAAGGAAGCAAACUAGUAGCCAUGAACAACGUGUAUGCCGUGUCACAAUCACAUGACAUGCCAAAUUACCGACCCAGUGUUUCGGCGAAACCCAGGGAGGGACCAGACCGCACCAAGGAAGAGAUGCACUUCAACACUUGGUCCUACUAAUAUCUGGAUCAUCUAGUUUGAGUUUGUCCACCCACGUCAAUUUCCAAUAUUAACCUGUAGUGAACGGAUAAUUAUACCUAAAAUUGGGCAUCACCUAAAACUUAGAAAUAGCAUGUUUCCUUGUUUGUAUUCUCAUAAUAUGAAAAUUAAUAUGUGUUGUUAUGUAACUCCAAAUAAUAUAUGCAUGCAUUCCUCGAAACAAAAUUCAUUCAGUGAAUAAUAAUGGCUCUGAACUGGCUACAAAUGGAAGAUGUGCAUCGAUCAUUAACCCUCCCCUUGGUGAUAGUAUGAUAUAUACAAUAAUUUCAUAAUAAAGUGCAUACAGUUUAUAGCAAUAAGAUAGUAGACAUCAUGUUAGUAGUAGAAAAAACUAUGUAGAUGAACUAGAACCGAAGGGAGCGUUCCCACUAUGCUGGACACUGUUCAUAAGGAUGUCGACGCACUGUCGUUGACCACUGCAACAACCUGUUGUCGCAACACAAAUGCCUAUGAUACAACACCCCUCGUGCCUUCUCUAGCAGCCAGCACGUGGUAAAUCAACAUCACCUCUCAUUGGCUAGGUGUCCUCGUCCCAUGUCUUUGGUGGAUUUGUACAAAAUUCACAACAUUGACUUUAGAUCUUAGAAAUGAUUUUAGAAAGUCGAUUUUAGAAAUGAUGCCAGAGAAGAGUCCGAUGUACAAAAUUCACAGCAACAUGGGCUUUAAGUCUGAGAAAUAAUAUCUGAUGCAUGUCUCAAACAAGCAAGCACAAACAUAUUUCUUCAUUAAAUCACCCAUAUAUUUAUCAAUUAUAGCUAGUGAAGGCAAAUCACAUGAUAAAGAGAGACAAUAUAUUGUACAUGCAAGUCAUAAAACCAAGAGAGGAAAUAUAAUGUUGAGUCAAGUCCUCGUUGACUGCAACUCAACUUCAGAGAAAGAAGUUAUUGAGUACACAAUGGAGCAUGAAUAUUACACAGAUUAAUCAUGUCUUGCAGCUUGAGCAUAUUGUAGGCAUAGAUAAAAAAGCUGCAAAAAUAAAGAUGUGAGAUUAUAGGGAUAAAAUCAAAAGAGAGUGGAAGAGGGAGGAGGUAAAUCAAUAGGAAUAAUAUCACACCUCGGCCCUAGAAAAAUUGAAGAGCACACCGAGGCAAGGUGCUGCCCAAGUGGCCGCACCUAGUUGAAGAAACGACAUGGCCAAACACAUCCCAUGGCUACCGCCAAACCUGUGCAACAGCAACACCUUUCUUUGCAUCUCCCUCCCUGACGUCAUUUCACGCAUACCAAUCAUACAACUAGGGAUAAAAAUGAAGCAGAAACUUUGCAUCCGUUCCAGCAAAAUAUGAAAACAGAGAGCAAAUAUGGAAACAGAAACAGAAAUUUGCCGAAUGGGAGCAAAAAUGGAAAGUUUCUCACGGAAACGGGACAUCGUUUUCCAGCGGAACACUAGCAGAAACAGGAUUUCCAUAUCCUCACGCGAGGAAGUUUUCAUUUAUUUUUUGUCUAUAUAGCUAUCUCCAGACCAACCAAUAUAAACUUUUGGCUGAACUCAAUCCUACCAUCAAGAAACAUAAUCUUUCCCCUACUCCUAUGAUCCUCCCUACAAUCCCAUUUUCUUCCUGAAAAAUAUGUGUUAUAUUGUUGCCAUAAUUGGAAACUCAUGCAUUGUAUCUGUGUAUACCAUAUUAUAUAUCCAUGAUAUAUCAUAAUAUUUGUUUUCAUCUUAGCAAUUGAAUUUGUAAGUUUAGAUAUGUUUUUCAUUACGGUUCAAGAGGCUUUUGAGUUCCGGAUUUUUUUACUUCGUAUGAGUGUUCACAGUUCGUAUUUGUUUUUGAUUGUGUAUUUGUUUCUAGAUUUUUUGUAUUUAUUUCCGCUUCAACUAAGUAUCAUGGACACAAAUGCAGCAGUACUCAGUUUUGUCUGUCUCAGCUUCGUUUUCGUACCUACAUAUUAUGACCACCACCAAAUCAAACAAGCUACACUGAUAAUAGACAUAACAAGACUAACCAACUCCAAGUAAGAGCACAAUAUGAUAUAAAGGACAAAGAUGACACACUAGUUCCUAAGGAAGGGACGAAGGCUGCGAGGUAGUGAAGGAUCAAAGAUGCGCUAUAUGUUGACCAGGGAGGGGGGGUUGAAUAGAUGACUACCAAAUUUAAUCUUAUCUCUACUCUUAAAAAAACUAAGUUGGUGACGAUGGUGUGCCUGCCAUCUUGCAAUAUAGACCGUCCGAUCUAUAUCUGACGAAUAGAAAGCAAACUAUGGCAAUUUUGUAAAAAGAUACCCGAACCUCUCUCCACAUUUGCAGAUAAGGCCUUCCCUCGUUCAUCCUUAUCUCCCACAACCUCAUUGUUGAGCAAUUAAAAAAGGAACAAUCUGGCAUGGUGGGCGCUCCCGGCGUCGUUCAUCGCCAUGCCUCCGCUCAGUCUGACCACCAAUCACCACCACGCCCACUCCUCCUCACAUUAUCUCUCCUCUUUCUCGAGAUAGCAUUAGUUUUUACACAUGGGAUUACUCACGCAUGGGUCAAUCACAAUAGGUGUUUUAUUAAAAAAUGCAUAUUGAUGUUCCGUGCAUUGCAUGAGCAUCUUGCUAGUCUUCAUUGAUUUUAGAGGCAAGUGUGGAAUAGUAAGUUCUCUAGAAAUGCAACUAAGUGAUACAUCAUAAAUGAUGUGUUACAACAAACUAGCAAGAUACAGAAAGCAAACAAGCAAGCAAGUAAUAACAAGUAAAGUGGGAUAUAAUUAAACAUCCAAAAGUGAUGGAGAAGAAGAUAUAAUCCAAAUUUCAAACUCUUGGUUGAGUGCUAAUCUCUGUUAGGGAGGUGGGGAACAACAAAUGUCUCGAGUGUGCAAGAAACUUGGUUAAUGAAUGCCCAAGUUCCUUGUCACUAGGGCUAGCUCUUGGAAUGCCAUUAACACACCAAAGCCAUCAUUAGGACCUAGAUGUCCUUGUUGGGGAACGUAGUAUUUCAAAAAAAAAACCUACGAUCACGCAAGAUCUAUCUAGGAGAAGCAUAGCAACGAAUGGGGAGAGAUUGUCCACGUACCCUCGUAGAACGAAAGCGGAAGCGUUUAGUAAUGUGGUUGAUGUAGUCGAACGUCUUCGCGAUCCAACCGAUCCAUGUACCGAACGCACGACACCUCCGCGAUCUGCACACGUCCAGCUCGGUGACGUCCCUCGAACUCUUGAUACAGCUGAGGCCGAGGGGGAGUUUCGUCAGCACGACGGCGUGGUGACGGUGAUGAUGAAGUUACCGACGUAGGGCUUCGCCUAAGCACUACGACAAUAUGACCGAGGUGGAAAACUAUGGAGGGGGGGGGGGCAACGCACACGGCUAAAGAUCAACUUGUGUGUCUAGGGGGUGCCCCCUCCCCCGUAUAUAAAGGAGGGGAGGAGGAGGCCGGCCGGCCCUAGGGGGCGCCCAAGGGGGAGUCCUACUCCAAGUAGGAAUCAGCUCCCCCCUUUCCUAGUCCAAGUAGGAGAAGAAGGAAGGAGAGGGAAAGAGGGGCCGCGCCCCCUCCCCUAGUCCUAUUCGGACUACCCUUGGGGGGCGCCACCUCCUGGGUGCUGCACUCUCUCUCUCUCCCCUAAGGCCCACUAAGGCCAUUGCUUCCCCUCGGGGGGGGGGGGGGUCCGGUAACCCCUCAGGCACUCCGGUUUUAUCCGAAACUAUCCGAAACACUUUCGGUGUCCGAAUAACAUGGUCCAGUAUAUCAAUCUUUAUGUCUCGACCAUUUUGAGACUCCUCGUCAUGUUCAUGAUCUCAUCCGGAACUCCGAACAACCUUCUGUACAUCAAAUCACAUAACUCAUAAUACAAAUCGUCAUCGAGCGUUAAGCGUGCGGACCCUACGGGUUCGAUAACUAUGUAGACAUGAUCGAGAUACAUCUCUGGUCAAUAACCAAUAGCAGAACCUGGAUGCUCAUAUUGGCUCCUACAUAUUCUACGAAGAUCUUUAUCGGUCAAACCGCAUAACAACAUGCGUUGUUCCCUUUGUCAUCGGUAUGUUACUUGCCCGAGAUUCGAUCGUCGGUAUCAUCAUACCGAGUUCAAUCUCAUUACCAGCAAGUCUCUUUACUCGUUCCGUAAUGCAUCAUCCCGCAACUAACUCAUUAGUCACAUUGCUUGCAAGGCUUAUAGUGAUGUGCAUUACCGAGAGGGCCCAGAGAUACCUCUCCGACAAUCGGAGUGACAAAUCCUAAUCUUAAUCUAUGCAAAAUCAACAAACACCAUCGGGGACACCUGUAGAGCAUCUUUAUAAUCACCCAGUUACAUUGUGACGUUUGAUAGCACACUAAGUGUUCCUCCGGUAUUCGGGAGUUGCAUAAUCUCAUAGUCAUAGAAACAUGUAUAAGUCAUGAAGAAAGCAAUAGCAAUAAACUAAACGAUCAUAGUGCUAAGCUAACGGAUGGGUCUUGUCCAUCACAUCAUUCUCUAAUGAUGUGAUCCCGUUCAUCAAAUGACAACACAUGUCUAUGGCUAGGAAACUUAACCAUCUUUGAUUAACGAGCUAGUCUAGUAAAGGCAUACUAAGGACACUUUGUUUGUCUAUGUAUUCACACAUGUACUAAGUUUCCGGUUAAUGCAAUUCUAGCGUGAAUAAUAAACAUUUAUCAUGAUAUAAGGAAAUAUAAAUAACAACUUUAUUAUUGCCUCUAGGGCAUAUUUCCUUCAGUCUCCCACUUGCAUUAGAGUCAAUAAUCUAGAUUACAUAGUAAUGAUUCUAACACCCAUGGAGUCUUGGUGCUAAUCAUGUUUUGCUCAUGAGAGAGGCUUAGUUAACGGGUCUACAACAUUCAGGUUUGCAUGUAUCUUGCAAAUCUCUAUGUCUCCCUCCUUGACUUGAUUGCGGAUGAAAUUGAAGCGUCUCUGAUGUGAUUGGUUCUCUUGUGAAAUCUGGAUUUCUUUGCCAAGGCAACUGAAAUAGUAUUGUCACAAAAGAUUUUCAUUGGACCCGAUGCACUAGGUAUGACACCUAGAUCGGAUAUGAAAUCCUUCAUCCAGACUCCUUCAUUUGCUGCUUCCGAAGCAGCUAUGUACUCCACUUCACACGUAGAUCCCGCCACGACGCUCUGCUUGGAACUGCACCAACUUAUAGGCCCUCCAUUCAAUAUAAAUACGUAUACGGUUUGUGACUUAGAGUCAUCCAGAUCAGUGUCAAAUCUUGCAUCAACGUAACCAUUUACGACGAGCUCUUUGUCACCUCCAUAAAUGAGAAACAUAUCCUUAGUCCUUUUCAGGUAUUUCAGGAUGUUCUUGACCGAUGUCCAGUGAUCCACUCCUGGAUUAAUUUGGUACCUCCCUGCUAAACUAAUAGCAAGGCACACAUCCGGUCUGAUACACAGCAUUGCAUAUAUGAUAGAACCUAUGGCUGAAGCAUAGGGAAUGACUUUCAUUUUCUCUCUAUCUUCUGCAGUGGUCAGGCAUUGAGUCUGACUCAACUUCACACCUUAUAACACAGGCAAGAACCCUUUCUUUGCUUGAUCCAUUUUGAGCUUCUUUAAAACUUUAUCAAGGUAUGUGCUUUGUGAAAGUCCAAUUAAGCGUCUUGAUCUAUCUCUAUAGAUCUUGAUGCCUAAUAUAUAAGCAGCUUCACCGAGGUCUUUCAUUGAAAAAUUCUUAUUCAAGUAUCCUUUUAUGCUAUCCAGAAAUUCAGUAUCAUUUCCGAUCAACAAUAUGUCAUCCACAUAUAAUAUCAUUAAUGCUACAUAGCUCCCACUCACUUUCUUGUAAAUACAGGCUUCUCCAAAAGUCUGUAUAAAACCAUAUGCUUUGAUCACACGAUCAAAGCGUAUAUUCCAACUCCGAGAUGCUUGCACCAGUCCAUAAAUGGAUCGCUGGAGCUUGCACACUUUGUUAGCACCUUUUGGAUCGACAAAACCUUCUGGUUGCAUCAUAUACAACUCUUCUUUAAGAUAUCCAUUAAGGAAUGCAGUUUUGACAUCCAUUUGCCAAAUUUCAUAAUCAUAAAAUGCGGCAAUUGCUAACAUGAUUUGGACAGACUUAAGCAUCUCUACGGGUGAGAAGGUCUCAUCGUAGUCAACUCCUUGAACUUGUCGAAAACCUUUCGCAACAAGUCGAGCUUUGCAGACAGUAACAUUACCGUCAGCGUCAGUCUUCUUCUGGAAGAUCCAUUUAUUCUCUAUGGCUUGCCGAUCAUCGGCCAAGUCAACCAAAGUCCACACUUUGUUCUCAUACAUGGAUCCCAUCUCAGAUUUCAUGGCCUCAAGCCAUUUCGCGGAAUCUGGGCUCAUCAUCGCUUCCUCAUAGUUCGUAGGUUCGUCAUGGUCAAGUAACAUGACUUACAGAACAGGAUUACCGUACCACUCUAGUGCAGAUCUUACUCUGGUUGACCUACGAGGUUCGGUAGUAACUUGAUCAGAAGUUUCAUGAUCAUCAUCAUUAGCUUCCUCACUAAUUGGUGUAGGAAUCACUGAAACUGAUUUCUGUGAUGAACUACUUUCCAAUAAGGGAGCAGGUACAAUUACCUCAUCAAGUUCUACUUUCCUCCCAGUCACUUCUUUCGAGAGAAACUCCUUCUCUAGAAAGGAUCCAUUCUUAGCAAUGAAUAUCUUGCCUUCGGAUCUGUGAUAGAAGGUGUACCCAAUAGUCUCCUUUGGGUAUCCUAUGAAGACACAUUUCUCCGAUUUGGGUUCGAGCUUAUCAGGUUGAAGCUUUUUCACAUAAGCAUCGCAGCCCCAAACUUUAAGAAAUGACAACUUGGGUUUCUUGCCAAACCACAGUUCAUACGAUGUCGUCUCAACGGAUUUAGAUGGUGCCCUAUUUAACAUGAAUGCAACUGUCUCUAAAGCAUAACCCUAAAAUGAUAGCGGUAAAUCAGUAAGAGACAUCAUAGAUUGCACCAUAUGUAAUGAAGUGCGGUUACGACGUUCGGACACACCAUUACGAUGUGGUGUUCCGGGUGGCGUGAGUUGCGAAACUAUUCCGCAUUGUUUCAAAUGAAGACCAAACUCGUAACUCAAAUAUUCACCUCCAUGAUCACAUCGUAGAAACUUUAUUUUCUUAUUGCGAUGAUUUUCCACUUCACUCUGAAAUUCUUUGAUCUUUUCAAAUGUUUCAGACUUAUGUUUCAUUAAGUAGAUAUACUCAUAUCUACUCAAAUCAUCUGUGAAGGUCAAAAAAUAAUGAUACCCACCGCAAGCAUCAACACUCAUCGGACCACAUACAUCACUAUGUAUUAUUUCCAAUAAGUCUGUUGCUCGCUCCAUUGUUCUGGAGAACGGAGUCUUAGUCAUCUUGCCCAUGAGGCAUGGUUCACAAGCAUCAAGUGAUUCCAAAAGCCCACCAACAUGGAGUUCUUCAUGCGCUUUACACCAAUAUGACCUAAACGGCAGUGCCACAAAUAAGUUGCACUAUCAUUAUUAAACUUAUAUCUUUUGGCUUCAAUACUAAGAAUAUGUGUAUUACUACUAUCGAGAUUCAACAAAAAUAGACCACUCAUCAAGGGUGCAUGACCAUAAAAGAUAUUACUCAUAUAAAUAAAACAACCAUUAUUAUCUGAUUUAAAUGAAUAUCCGUCUCGCAUCAAACAAGAUCCAGAUAUAAUGUUCAUGCUUAAUGUUGGCAUCAAAUAACAACUAUUCAGGUCUAAAACUAAUCCCGAAGGUAGAUGUAGAGGUGCGUGCCGACGGCGUUCACAUCGACUUUGGAACCAUUUCCCACGCGCAUCGUCACCUCAUCCUUAGCCAAUCUUUUCUUAAUCCAUAGCCCCUGUUUUGAGUUGCAAAUGUGAGCAACAGAACCAGUAUCAAAUACCCAGGCGCUACUACGAGCAUUACUAAGGUACACAUCAAUAACAUGUAUAUCAAAUAUACCUUUCACUUUGCCAUCCUUCUUAUCCGCCAAAUACUUAGGGCGGUUCCGCUUCCAGUGACCAGUCCCUUUGUAGUGGAAGCACUCAGUCUCAGGCUUAGGUCCAGACUUGGGCUUCUUCACUUGAGCAGCAACUUGCUUGCCGUUCUUCUUGAAGUUCCCCUUCUUACCUUUGCUCUUUUUCUUGAAACUAGUGGUCUUGUUAACCAUCAACACUUGAUGAUCCUUAUUGAUUUCUACCUCCACAGCCUUUAGCACCGCGAAGAGCUCGGGAAUUGUCAUAUCCAUCCCUUGCAUAUUAUAGUUCAUCAUGAAGUUUUUGUAGCUUGGUGGCAGUGAUUGAAGAACUCUGUCAAUGACACUAUCAACUGGGAGAUUAACUCCCAGCUGGGUUAAGUGAUUGUGGUACCCAGACAUUCUAAGUAUAUGUUCACUAACAGAACUAUUCUUCUCCAUUUUGCAACUGUAGAACUUAUUGGAAACUUCAUAUCAAUCCGGGCAUUUGCAUGAAAUAUUAACUUCAACUCCUGGAACAUCUAUGCUCCAUGAUGUUCAAAACGUCGUUGAAGUCCUGGUUCUAAGCCGUAAAGCAUGGCACACUGAACUAUUGAGUACUCAUCAGCUUUGCUCUGUCAUGCGUUCAUAACGUUCGGCGUUGCUCCUGCAGCGGGUUUGGCACUCAGCGGUGCUUCCAGGACGUAAUUUUUCUAUGGAACAAUGAGGAUAAUCCUCAAGUUACGGACCUAGUCCAUGUAGUUGCUACCAUCAUCUUUCAACUUAGCUUUCUCUAGGAACGCAUUAAAAUUCAACGAAACAGUAGCACGGGCUAUUUAUCUACAGCAACAUAGACAUGCAAAAUACUAGCAGGUACUAAGUUCAUGAUAAAUUAAAGUUCAAUUAAUCAUAUUACUUAAGAACUCCCACCUAGAUAGACAUCCCUUUAAUCAUCUAAGUGAUCAUGUGAUCCAUAUCAACUAAACCAAGUCUGAUCAUCACGUGAGAUGAAGUAGUUUUCAAUGGUGAACAUCACUAUGUUGAUCAUAUCUACUAUAUGAUUCAUGCUCGACCUUUCGGUCUCAGUGUUCUGAGGCCAUAUCUGCAUAUGCUAGGCUCGUCAAGUUUAACCCGAGUAUUCCGCGUGUGCAAAACUGGCUUGCACCCGUUGUAUGUGAACGUAGAGCUUAUCACACCCGAUCAUCACGUGGUGUCUCGGCACAACGAACUGUAGUAACGGUGCAUACUUAGGGAGAACACUUGUACCUUGAAAUUUAAUGAGAGAUCUUCUUAUAAUGCUACCGCCAUACUAAGCAAAAUAAGCAUAAAAAGAUAAACAUCACAUGCAAUCAAAUAAGUGAUAUGAUAUGGCCAUCAUCAUCUUGUGCCUUUGAUCUCCAUCUCCAAAGCACCGUCAUGAUCACCAUCAUCACUGGCUUGACACCUUGAUCUCCAUCGAAGCAUCGUUGUCGUCUCGCUAACUAUUGCUUCUACGACUAUCGCUACCGCUUAGUGAUAAAGUAAAGCAAUUACAUGGCGGUUGCAUUUCAUACAAUAAAGUGACAACCAUAUGGCUCCUGCCGGGUGCCGAUAACUGUUACAAAACAUUAUCAUCUCAUACAACAAUUUAUAUAUCAUCACGUCUUGACCAUAUCACAUCACAGCAAGCCCUGCAAAAACAAGUUAGACGUGCUCUACUUUGUUGUUGCAAGUUUUACGUGGCUGCUACAGGCUUCUACCAAGAACCGUUCUUACCUACGCAUCAAAACCACAAUGAUUUUUCGUCAAGUGUGCUGUUUUAACCUUCAACAAGGACCGGACGUAGUCACACUUGAUUCAACUAAAGCUGGAGAAACAGACACCCAUUAGCCACCUAUGUGCGAAGCACGACGGUAGAACCAGUCUCACGAACGCGGUCAUGUAAUGUCGGUCUGGGCCGCUUCAUCCUACAAUACCGCCGAAUCAAAGUAUGACAUGUUGGUAAGCAGUAUGACUAUUAUCGCCCACAACUCUUUGUGUUCUGCUCAUGCAUAUAACAUAUACGCAUAGACCUAGCUCGGAUGCCAUUGUUUCGGAACGUAGUAUUUAAUUUUUUUGCCUACGAUCACGCAAGAUCUAUCUAGGAGAAGCAUAGCAACGAGCAGGGAGAGUGUGUCCACGUACCCUCGUAGACCAAAAGCGGAAGCGUUUAGUAACGCAGUUGAUGUACUCGAACAUCUUCAUGAUCCAACCGAUCCAAGUACAGAAUGCACGACACCUCCGUGAUCUGCACACAUUCAGCUCGGUGACGUCCCUCGAACUCUUGAUCCAGCUGAGGCCGAGGGAGAGUUUCAUCAGCACGACAGCAUGGUGAUGGUGAUGAUGAAGUUACUGACGUAGGUCUUCGCCUAAGCACUACGACAAUAUGACCGGGGUGGAAAACUGUCGAGGGGGCACCGCACACGGCUAAAGAUCAACUUGUGUGUCUAUGGGGUGCCCCCCUCCCCCGUAUAUAAAGGAGGGGAGGAGGAGGCCGGGCGGCCCUAGGGGGCACGCCCAAGGGGGGAGUCCUACUCCAAGUAGGAAUCGGCUCCCCCCUUUCCUAGUCCAAGUAGGAGAAGAAGGAAGGAGAGGGAGAGGGAGAGGGAAAGAGGGGUCGUGCCUGAGGGAGUCCUGGACUAAGGGGUCCUCGGGCGUCCGACCUAUUAGACAUGGUCUGGACUGAUGGGUUGUGAAGAUACGAAGACCGAAGACUCUACCCGUGUCUCGAUGGGACUCUCCUUGGCGUGGAAGGCAAGCUUGGCGUCCGAAUAUGAAGAUUCCUUUCUCUGUAACCGACCUUGUGUAACCCUAGGUCCCUCCGGAGUCUAUAUAAACCGGAGGGCUAGGUCCGUAGAGAGAUCCUCAUAAUCAUAGUCAGACAGGCUAGACUUUUAGGGUUUAGCCAUCACGAUCUCAUGGUAGAUCAACUCUUGUAAUACUCAUAUUCAUCAAGAUCAAUCAAGCAGGAAGUAGGGUAUUACCUCCAUAUAGAGAGGGCCCAAACCUGGGUAAACAUUGUGUCCUUGUCUCCUGUUACCAUCGACCUUAGACGCACAGUUCGGGACCCCCUACCUGAGAUCCGCCGGUUUUGACACCGACAUUGGUGUUUUCAUUGAGAGUUCCACUGUGCCGUUGUCAAAAGGUUUGAUGGCUCCUUCAAUCAUCUACAAUGACGUUGUCCAAGGGGAAGUCUUCCUCCCCGGACAGAUCUUCGUGUUCGGCGGCUUCGCAAUGUGGGCCAACUCGCUUGGCCAUCUGGAGCAGAUCGAAAGCUACGCCUGGCCAUCAGGUCAGAUUUGGAAGCUUGAACUACGUCGCGGAUAUCCGUGGAGACUUGAUCUUCGACGGAUUCGAGACCACGGCAGUCGCUCCCUGCCACCAUGAUGAACAUGGUGUAAAUCUGUCAUCGGUCCAUACCCAGGAGAUAGCACCUGUAGCUGCUCUGGCCCUAGAUCCGGAGCAGAUCGUGCCAUCCGAAGACAGGAAGCUCAACCCCGCCGCGGAAGCCGCAGACUCAGCAGAGCUGGAGCCGCACACAGACCUAACUUCAAGUGACAUCUACGCCGCCAGAACCACAGACUUGUCUCUGGCUACAGGAUCCGAACCUUGUGCAUCCGCAUACGUCGAGCUCGAUCGGUCAUCGAUCAUCGAAUUCAGCUCCACGGACAUCUUCCGGCACACGCCUUUGGGCGACAUGUUAAACUCGUUAAGAGCACUAUCCUUAGUGGGGGGCUCACAGCCGAAUUAUACCCGGUUCGAACUGGAGGCUGAUGACGGAGAAUUUCGCUUCCUACCCACCACCCACUUCAUAGCCACUGUCGAAGACUUAACCGACACGCUCGAUUACGGCUCCGACGACAUUGAUGGUUGAUACGUCUCCAACGUAUCUAUAAUUUUUGAUUGCUCCAUGCUAUAUUAUCUACUGUUUUGAAUGUUUAUGAUCUUUAUUAUACACUUUUAUAUCAUUUUUGGGACUAACCUAUUAACCCAGAGCCCAGUACCAGUUUCUGUUUUUACCCUGUUUUAGGGUUUCGAAGAAAAGGAAAAUCAAACGGAGUCCAAUUGACCUAAAACUUCACGGAACUCUUUUUUGGAAGGAAAGAAGCCCAGAAGACUUGGAGUGCACGUCGGGGGAUCUGCAAGGAGGUCACGAGGCAGGGGGCACGCCCACCCCCCUGGCAGAUUGCUGUUAUGUUUGCAUUGUUUGCAUAUGUUUGCUUCUUUAAUGAUUCUAUUUGAGGAUAGGACUAUUAAAUAUGCAGAAGAAUUUAGUAUGCAAUGUUGAAUAAUAAUUUUAGUGAUUUGCUACAGUAGAGUAUGAUAAGGUUUUGGCAAUGGUUUAUACUAACUUAUCUCACGAGUCCUUGUUGAGUUUUGUGUGGAUCAAGCUUUUGAGAUUUAGGAAGACCGUGAUAUGAGAGGAAUUAAGGAGACACAAAAGCUCAAGCUUGGGUAUGCCCAAGGAACCCCAAGAUAAUAUUUCAAGAAGUCUCAAGCGUCUAAGCUUGGGGAUGCCCCGGUUGGCAUCCCACCUUUCUUCUUCAACAACUAUCGGUUAGUAUCGGUUGAUCCUAAGUUUUUGCUUCUUCACAUGAUGUUUGCUAUUCUUAGAAUGUCAUUUUAUUUUGCUUUGCUUUCUGUUUGAAUAAAAUACAAGAUCUGAAAUUCUUAAAUGUUAGAGAGUCUUCACAUAGUUGCAUAAUUAUUCAACUACUCAUUGAUCUUCAUUUAUAUCUUUCGGAGUAGUUUGUUGUUGCUCUAGUGCUUCACUUAUAUCUUUUAGAGCAUGGUGGUAGUUUUAUUUUAUAAGAAAUAGAUGAAAUCUCAUGCUUCACUUAGAUUAUUUUGAGAGUUUUAAAUAGCAUGGUAAUUUGCUUAAAUAAUCCUAAUAUGCUAGGCAUCCAAGAAUAGUAAAAACUUUCAUAUAGGGCAUUGAAUACUAUGAGAAGUUUGAUACUUGAUAAUUGUUUUGAGAUAUGGAGAUGGUGAUAUUAGAGUCAUGCUAGUUGAGUGGUUAUGAAUUUGAGAAAUACUUGUGUUGAAGUUUGUGCUUCCCGUAGCAUGCACGUAUGGUGAACCGUUAUGUGAUGAAGACGGAGCAUGAUUUAUUUAUUGAUUGUCUUCCUUAUGAGUGGCGGUCGGGGACGAGCGAUGGUAUUUUCCUACCAAUCUAUCCCCCUAGGAGCAUGCGCAUAAUACUUUGCUUUGAUAACUUGUAGAUUUUUGCAAUAAGUAUAUGAGUUCUUUAUGACUAAUGUUGAGUCCAUGGAUUAUACGCACUCUCACCCUUCCACCCUUCCUAGCCUCUCUAGUACCGCGCACCUUUCACCAGUACCAUAAACCCACCAUUUACCUUCCUCAAAACAGCCACCAUACCUACCUAUUAUGGCAUUUCCAUAGCCAUUUCGAGAUAUAUUGCCAUGCAACUUUCCACCGUUCCGUUUAUUAUGACACGCUUCAUCAUUGCCAUAUUGCUUUGCAUGAUCAUGUAGUUGACAUCGUAUUUGUGGCAAAGCCGCCAUUCAUAAUUAUUCAUACAUGUCACUCAUGCAUCAUUGCACAUCCCGGUACACCGCCGGAGGCAUUCAUAUAGAGUCAUAUCUUGUUCUAAGUAUCGAGUUAUAAUUCUUGAGUUGUAAGAAAAUAAAAGUGUGAUGAUCAUCAUUAUUAGAGCAUUGUCCCAGUGAGGAAAGGAUCAUGGAGACUAUGAUUCCCCCACAAGUCGGGAUGAGACUCCGGACGAAAAUAAAUAAAUAAAAGAGGCCAAAGAAGCCCAAAUAAAAAAAAGAAAGAAAAGAGGCCAUAAAAAGAGAAGGCCCAAAUAAAAAAAAUAAAAAAUGAGAGAAAAAGAGAGAAGGGGCAAUGCUACUAUCCUUUUACCACACUUGUGCUUCAAAGUAGCACCAUGAUCUUCAUGAUAGAGAGUAUCCUAUGUUGUCACUUUCAUAUACUAGUGGGAAUCUUUCAUUAUAGAACUUGGCUUGUAUAUUCCAAUGAUGGGCUUCCUCAAAAUGCCCUAGGUCUUCGUGAGAAAGCAAGUUGGAUGCACACCCACUAGUUUCUUUUGUUGAGCUUUCAUACAUUUAUAGCUCUAGUGCAUCCGUUGCAUGGCAAUCCCUACUCACUCACAUUGAUAUCUAUUGAUGGGCAUCCCCAUAGCCCAUUGAUACACCUAGUUGAUGUGAGACUAUCUUCUCCUUUUUGUCUUCUCCACAACCACCAUUCUAUUCCACCUAUAGUGCUAUGUCCAUGGCUCACGCUCAUGUAUUGCGUGAAGAUUGAAAAAGUUUGAGAACAUCAAAAGUAUGAAACAAUUGCUUGGCUUGUCAUCGAGGCUCUGCAUGGUUUAAAUAUUUUGUGUGGUGAAGAUAGAGCAUAGACAGACUAUAUGAUUUUGUAGGGAUAGCUUUCUUUGGCCAUGUUAUUUUGAGAAGACAUAAUUGCUUAGUUAGUAUGCUUGAAGUAUUAUCAUUUUUAUGUCAAUAUGAACUUUUGUCUUGAAUCUUAUGGAUCUGAAUAUUCAUACCACAAUUAAGAAGAAUUACAUUAAAAUUAUGCCAAGUAGCACUCCGCAUCAAAAAUUCUAUUUUUAUCAUUUACCUACUUGAGGACGAGCAGGAAUUAAGCUUGGGGAUGCUUGAUACGUCUCCAACGUAUCUAUAAUUUUUGAUUGCUCCAUGCUAUAUUAUCUAUUGUUUUGAAUGUUUAUGGGCUUUAUUAUACACUUUUCUAUCAUUUUUGGGACUAACCUAUUAACCCAGAGCCCAGUGCCAGUUUCUGCUUUUUACCCUGUUUUAGGGUUUCGAAGAAAAGGAAAAUCAAACGGAGUCCAGUUGACCUAAAACUUCACGGAACUCAUUUUUGGAAGGAAAGAAGCCCAUAAGACUUGGAGUGCACGUCGGGGGAUCUGCGAGGAGGUCACGAGGCAAUGGGCACGCCCACCCCCUGGGCGCGCCCUCCACCCUCGUGAGCCCCUCGUGGCCCCCCUAACGUACUUCUUCCGCCUAUAUAUCUCCAUGUACCCUAAAAACAUCCAUGAGCACAAUAGAUCUUGAGUUCCGCCGCCAGAAGCCUCCGUAGCCACCGAAAGCGAAUCUAGACCCGUUCCGGCACCCGGCCAGAGGGGGAAUCCUUCUCCGGUGGCCAUCUUCAUCAUCCCGGUGCUCUCCAUGACGAGGAGGGAGUAGUUCUCCCUCGGGGCUGAGGGUAUGUACCAGUAGCUAUUUGUUUGAUCUCUCUCUCUCUCUUGUGUUCUUGAUUUGGCAUGAUCUUGAUGUAUCGCGAGCUUUGCUAUUAUAUUUGGAUCCUAUGAUGUUUCUUCCCCCCUCUACUCUCUUGUAAUGAAUUGAGUUUCUCCUUUGAAGUAAUAUUAUCGGAUUGAGUCUUUAAAGAUUUGAGAACACUUGAUGUAUGUCUUGCCGUGCGUAUCUGUGGUGACAAUGGGAUACCACGUGCCACUUGAUGUAUGUUAAGGUGAUCAACUUGCGGGUUUCGUGACAUUGGGAACCUAUGCAUGGGGAUUGGCACACGUUUUCGUCGUGAUUCUCCGGUAGAACUUUGGGGCACUCUUUGAGGUCCUUUGUGUUGGUUGAAUAGAUGAAUCUGAGAUUGUGUGAUGCAUAUCGUAUAAUCAUACCCACGGAUACUUGAGGUGACAUUGGAGUAUCUAGGUGACAUUAGGGUUUUGGUUGAUUUGUGUCUUAAGGUGUUAUUCUAGUACGGACUCUAGGGAUGUUUGUGACACUUAUAGGAAUAGCCCAACGGAUUGAUUGGAAAGAAUAACUUUGAGGUGGUUUCGUACCCUACCAUAAUCUCUUCAUUUGUUCUCCGCUAUUAGUGACUUUGGAGUGACUCUUUGUUGCAUGUUGAGGGAUAGUUAUGUGAUCCAAUUAUGUUAGUAUUGUUGAGGGAACUUACACUAGCGAAAGUAUGAACCCUAGGCCUUGUUUCAACACAUUGCAAUACCGUUUACGCUCACUUUUAUCAUUCGUUACCUUGCUGUUUUUAUAAUUUCAGAUUACAAAUACUCAUAUCUACUAUCCAUAUUGCAUUUGUAUCACCAUCUCUUCGCCGAACUAGUGCAGCUAUACAAUUUACCAUUGUAUUGGGUGUGUUGGGGACACAAGAGACUCUUUGUUAUUUGGUUGCAGGGUUGCUUGAGAGAGACCAUCUUCAUCCUACGCCUCCUACGGAUUGAUAAACCUUAGGUAAUCCACUUGAGGGAAAUUUGCUAUUGUCCUACAAACCUCUGCACUUGGAGGCCCAACAAUGUCUACAAGAAGAAGGUUGUGUAGUAUACAUCAAUGGUAUGGACGAUGAUGCCGGAGAAGAAGAGGCCCAAAACCCGCCGUUUACCGGACGCUGGACGGCCACUUCCUCGUAUGAUGUAUACAUGGUGGAUGCACCAAAAGAGAAUAGCAUCGAUGACAAGGAGGAUCCGGUUGAGGAUAAACCUCCCGAGAUACAACCAAAGCGUCGGUGUUAGUGGUGCCGCUCUAAGUCACGCCGCAGCAAAGACAACAACACCGGCACAGGAGAAGACAACACUCCAGACGGUGCCGAAGAUAAUGAAGACCCUGUUCAUCCAAAUUCCGAACAGGAUGAACGAGAAGAUGGGCAAGUUAGCCCUGGUAAACAGGCCACACAUGAAGACUCGGAGGACAGUAAUUAUCUUCCGCUCUCCAAGGACGAGGCAAGCCUCGGCACCGAGGAUUUUAUCAUGCCUGAGGAACCUCUCGAACAGGAGCGCUUCAAGCGCCAGCUAAUAGCCACUACAAGGAGCCUGAAAAAGAAACAAAAACAGCUACAAGAUGAUCAAGAUCUGCUCAAUGAUAGAUGGACUGAUGUCCUGGCAGCCGAGGAACAUGGCCUCAAGCGACCACUCAAAAGUUACCCAAAGCGCAAAUUGCUACCUCAAUUUGAUGACGAGGUGUUGGAGCCCAGGCCGUCAGUACACAAUGCGGCUGCCCGACCACCACGUGGUCAGGACAAAGCGGCAACACAAACCGAACACCAACCCGCCCUACCUCGCCGUAAAGGUAGAAACAAAAUUGCUCAGGGGUACACGUAUGAUCUCCGGCAGGGCCUGAAGAAUAAAACAGGCCCCGCCAGAUCGAUCUACGGAUCUCGGGGGCGUGCCUCGACGUGUGACGACGGCUAUCAAGCUGAGCAUGACAAGCCUAGUCAUACGCGGGCCGAAAACCACAGACGGACUCCAUCGGAGCUACGUCGUGAUGUGGCCCGAUAUAGAGGCGCCACACACCCUCUUUGCUUCACUGACGAAGUAAUGGAGCAUGAAUUCCCAGAAGGGUUUAAACCUGUGAAUAUUGAAUCAUACGAUGGAACAACUAAUCCCGCGGUAUGGAUUGAGGAUUUUCUUCUCCAUAUCCAUAUGGCCCGCGGAGAUGACCUCCACGCCAUCAAAUACCUCCCGUUAAGACUCAAAGGGCCAGCUCGGCACUGGUUAAACAGUCUGCCCGAAAACUCCAUUGGCAGCUGGGAGGAUUUGGAAGACGCCUCCGCAACAACUUCCAAGGUACAUAUGUCCGGCCACUAGACGCCGAUGACUUAAGCCAUAUAGUUCAAUAGCCCGGAGAGUCAGCCAGGAAAUUCUGGACUAGGUUCCUAACUAAAAAUAACCAGAUAGUCGACUGUCCGGAUGCCGAAGCCCUAGCGACCUUCAAACACAGCGUCCGCGACGAAUGGCUCACCCGCCACCUCGGCCAAGAAAAGCCGAAGUCCAUGGCAGCCCUCACGACACUCAUGACCCGCUUUUGUGCGGGUGAAGAUAGUUGGCUGGCCCGUAGCAAAAACAAUGCAAGCAACGCCGGCACCUCUGAAGCCAGAAAUAGCAAUGACAAGUCCUGACGCAACAGACACAUGCGUCGAAACAACAAUGACAACACCGAUGAUACGGAGGUCAAUGCAGGAUUCAGUGGCUCUAAGUCCAGUCAGCGGAAGAAGUCGUUCAAAAAGAACAAUUCGGGCUCAUCUAGCUUGGACCGCAUAAUCGAUCGUCUGUGCCAGAUCCAUGGCACCCCAGACAAACUACCCAAUCAUACCAACAAAGAUUGUUGGGUUUUCAAACAGGCCGGCAAGUUAGGCCGAAAGCAAGGAGAAGGUAUCGCAAAGCGAGGACGACGACGAGGAGCCCCGACCACCGAACACAGGGGGACAGAAGAAGUUUCCCCAUCAGGUCAAAACGGUGAACAUGAUAUACGCUACCCACAUCCCCAAGAGCGAGCGCAAGCGCGCGCUCAGGGAUGUCUAUGCGAUAGAGCCAGUCGCCCCAAAAUUUAAUCCAUGGUCAUCAUGCCCGAUCACUUUCGAUGUCGGGAUCAUCCGACUAGUAUCCGUCACGGCGGUUCAGCCGCACUGGUCCUGGACCCAAUAAUUGAUGGGUUCCACCUGACGCGAGUCCUGAUGGACGGUGGUAGCAACCUCAACCUGCUCUACCAGGAUACAGUGCGCAAAAUGGACAUUAAUCCAUCACGGAUCAAGCCCACAAAGACCACCUUUAAAGGAGUCAUACCAGGUGUAGAGGCCCGUUGUACAGGCUCAAUCACACUAGAGGUUGUCUUCGGGUCUCCGGACAACUUCCGAAGCGAGGAGUUAAUCUUCGAUAUCGUCCCCUUUUGCAGCGGCUAUCACGCACUGCUUAGACGAAUCGCAUUUGCUCGAUUCAACGCGAUGCCACACUACGCUUACCUCAAGCUCAAGAUUCCCGGACCACGCGGCAUCAUAACGGUUAAUGGAAACACGAAACGUUCCCUCCGCACCGAGGAGCACACCGCGGCCUUAGCAGCAUAUAUACAGAGCGGCCUUUCCAAGAAGAACCUUAAUUCAACGAUCGAGCUCUCAGACACUGUUAAGAGAGUCCGGACUAUUCUGCAGCAGGACAACUCAGCUCGUCAAGAGCUCGACUAGCAAUUCGGCCUCCGUCCCAGUCCCGACCAAGUGGCGGCAAUUGUACCGCGCGUACAUAACUACGCACUCAAAAUACCAUGGGCAUGGAUGGAGGCAUAACUAGCUUGUGAUCCACAAUACGGCUCGGCCGCCCCUGGACACACAUACUUUCACUGUUUCCAUUUUCCCUCCUUUUUUAGGUUUCUUCUUCACACACCUUCCCUGACGGCUUGACCAUCGAUUCUUUUCGAAGGAUAAUAACACCAAGAUGACAAGAAGCAUGGACAUGCUGGGGAAUUUUUUAGGUGGUUUCUUUAACGAUCCCUUUACCUGUUUUCAGGACCCACACACAGCUUUCCCUUGGUUAAGUCAUAUCAAAUAGCCUUUUGCUUAUUGCACUACUUAUAUAAAUGCGCUUUAGCGCACCAAUGAAAUUAUAAUGGAAACAAUUUGCGGACCAAAUUUUACGGCUCUAGCUUACUACCUUUUCUUAUUUUUCUUUUUUGAUAACUUUAUCAAAUAGCAUCUGUACACUCUGGUACGUUUCAAAUUGCCAGGGGCUUCAUAGCGCCCCACAACAUGGCAACAAAGUCCGAACACUUUUUACAGUAUAGUUCGGCACCCCGAAUUUAGCACUAUAUGCAUUGGCUCCAAAUCAUGUCUUUGGUCAAUAGUUGGGUUGCCCGGCUCCUGUGCUUGCUACCUUACAUUCCGCUAUAUCGGCUAGGGUAGUAAAGGGAGAACUACUGCGAUUGUGCCCUGGUUUACCCGGCUGAGCACCUCAGUAGAGAAAGCCGAAAAUUGACUGUCAUGAUGCGGCGAGAGCCGGUCAGCUCUUCGGAGGUCUCAAAUCCUUAAAGAUUUUUUACGCAUUACGCGAGGGAUCGGUAUUUACCCGGUCAGGUGUUUACAACAUCCUAGUCCAGAUACUAGGGGUUGCGCCUAUAUUUUUAUUGUCAAACUCCUAUUGAUAAGUGAGGGUGCUAAAGCCGCAUAGUCUGAUUGCCUGGUUCAUCGUGCUAAACACCUCCUUCAAGGACCAAACAAUUGGAUCAAGAGUGUUUAGAUUACAUCCCGGACACCCCCGUACUACCUACAUGGGGGCAGAAGCCGACGACUGGCCAACUCUCAGAUUUCACACAACACGGCCGAACAUGAGGUGAAAUUUCUUAAAAAAACAUUAUAUUACAUAACGACUUUGUUUCAUCAUACAAGGCAGAGACAACAUGAAUGAAUUCAUUCGAAAAUAAUGUCUUGCGCACAUUGCAUUUCCACAAUACGAGACCCCUCCAGGACGUCUUCAAAGUACCGCUCGGGCGUGCGGUGCUCCUUGCCCUCUGGUGGUCCCCCGGUCGUCAGCUUGACGGCGUCCAUCUUCGCCCACCACACCUUGACGCGGGUGAAGGCCAUGCGCGUGCCCUUGAUGGAGACCGACCGCUUGACAACGUCCAACCGAGGGCAAGCAUUCACCAGCCGCUUCACGAGCCCGAAGUAGCUGUCGGGCAUAGCUUCGACAGGCCACAGCCGGAUUAUUAAAUCCUUCAUGGCCAGUUCAGCCACCCUAUGCAGCUCGACAAGCUGUUUUAGAUGAUCACUGAAGGGCACUGGAUGUUCUGGCGCAAGAUAUUGCGACCAGAACAGCUUCUCCGUAGAGCUCCCAUCUUCGGUUCGGAAGAACUCCGCAGCGUCAGACACAUUGCGUGGCAGACCCGCAAACGCCCCUGGAGAACUCCGAAUCCGGGUUAGUAAGAGAUACUUCUCCUUCACAUAUUUUCUUUGCAUACUAAAUGCCUUACCCGCCGCAAUUUUCUUGGCCUCCUAGAUCUCCUGGAGGGCGCCCCGGGCCUCAAUCCGGGCCUCUUCCGCGCUUUGACGGUCCGUAGCGAGUUCGGUCUCUCGAGCCAAAAUGUCGCGCUCCAAGGAUUCACAUUUCUUCAUCGCAUCCUGGAGCUCUUGUUGGACCUCAUCCAGCCGGGCCUCGUGCUUCUCACGGGCAGCCUUUUCCUUGUCCGCUUUCUCCUCGGCCUGGGCUAGGGCCGGUUUAAGGACCUCGACCUCGGCCACCUCUCCUACACAUAUCACGGCACUACAGUCAAUACGCAUUAUUUAUUCCUUCUGAAUAUACAGCUAGACAAUACAUACCAUGCUGGUCUUCUAGCUGCUUGAUACGUCCAUUUUGCAUCAUGCUUUUAUAUCGAUAUUUAUUGCAUUAUGGGCUGUUAUUACACAUUAUGUCACAAUACUUAUGCCUAUUCUCUCUUAUUUUACAAGGUUUGCAUGAAGAGGGGGAAUGCCGGCAGCUGGAAUUCUGGGCUGGAAAAGGAGCAAAUAUUAGAGACCUAUUCUGCACAUCUCCAAAAGUCCUGAAACUUCAUGGGAGCACGUUUCAGAAUAUAUAAAAAUAUUGGGUGAAAGAAUGUGGGGGGCCACCCACCGUCCACGAGGGUGGGGGGCGCGCCCUACCUCCUGGGCGUGCCCCACUGCCUCGUGGGCCCCCUCGUGGCCCUCUGAUGCCCAUCUUUUACUAUAUGAGGUCUUUCGUUCGAGAAAAAUGUUAUGCAAGCUCAUGGGACGAAACUCCGCCGCCACGAGGCGGAACCUUGGCGGAACCAAUCUAGGGCUCCGGCGGAGCUGUUCUGCUGGGGAAACUUCCCUCCGGGAGGGGGAAAUCAUCAUCAUCAUCAUCACCAACGAUCCUCUCAUCGGGAGGGGGGUCAAUCUCCAUCAACAUCUUCACCAACACCAUCUCAUCUCAAACCCUAGUUCAUCUCUUGUAUCCAAUCUUUGUAUCCAAACCUCAGAUUGGUACCUAUGGGUUGCUAGUAGUGUUGAUUACUCCUUGUAGUUGAUGCUAGUUGUUUUACUUGGUGGAAGAUCAUAUGUUCAGAUCCAUCAUGUAUAUUAAUACCCCUCUUAUUAUGAACAUGAAUAUGCUUUGUGAGUAGUUACGUUUGUUCCUGAGGACAUGGGAGAAGUCUUGCUAUAAGUAGUCAUGUGAAUUUGGUAUUCGUUCGAUAUUUUGAUGAGAUGUAUGUUGUCAUCCCUCUAGUGAUGUUAUGUGAACGUCGACUACAUGACACUUCACCAUUGUUUGGGCCUAGAGGGAGGCAUUGGGAAGUAAUAGAUGAUGGGUUGCUAGAGUGACAGAAGCUUAGACCCUAGUUUAUGCGUUGCUUCGUAAGGGGCUGAUUUGGAUCCAUAUGUUUCAUGUUAUGGUUAGGUUUACCUUAAUACUUCUGUUGUAGUUGCGGAUGCUUGCAAUAGGGGUUAACCAUAAGUGGGAUGCUUGUCCAAGUAAGGGCAGUACCCAAGCACCGGUCCACCCACAUAUCAAAUUAUCAAAGUACCGAACGCGAAUCAUAUGAACGUGCUGAAAACUAGCUUGACGAUAAUUCCCAUGUGUCCUCGGGAGCGCUUUCCUUCAUAUAAGAGUUUGUCCAGGCUUGUACUUUGCUACAAAAAGGAUUGGUCCAUCAUGCUGCACCUUAUUUACUUUUAUUACUUGCUACUCAUUACAAAUUACCUUAUCACAAAACUAUCAGUUACCUAUAAUUUCAGUGCUUGCAGAGAAUACCUUACUGAAAACUGCUUAUCAUUUCCUUCUGCUCCUCGUUGGGUUCGACACUCUUACUUAUCGAAAAGGCUACGAUACAUCCCCUAUAGUUGUGGGUCAUCAAGAAUCUUUUCUGGCGCCGUUGUCGGGGAGUGAAGCGCCUUUGGUAGGUGGAAUUCAGUAAGGAAAAUUUUAUAUAGUGUGCUGAAAUUUACUAUCACUUGUUACUAUGGAACAUAAUCCUUUGAGGGGCUUGUUCGGGGUAUCUUCACCCUGACCAGUAGAGCAAAGAGUUUCUCCUCAACCUACUGAACCUACUGAAAAUGUUUACUUUGAAAUUCCUUCGGGUACGAUAGAGAAACUGCUAGCUAAUCCUUUUGCAGGAGAUGGAACAUUGCAUCCCGAUUUACACUUAAUCUAUGUGGAUGAAGUUUGUGGGUUAUUUAAGCUUGCAGGUAUGCCCGAUGAUGUUAUCAAGAAGAAGGUCUUCCCUUUAUAUUUGAAGGGAGAGGCAUUGACAUGGUAUAGGCUAUGUGAUGAUAUGGGAUCAUGGGACUACAAGCGAUUGAAAUUGGAAUUUCAUCAGAAGUUUUAUCCUAUGCAUCUUGUUCAUCAUGAUCGUAAUUAUAUAUAUAAUUUUUGGCCUCGCGAAGGAGAAAGCAUCGCUCAAGCUUGGGGGAGGCUUAAGUCAAUGUUAUAUUCAUGCCCCAAUCAUGAGCUCUCAAGAGAAAUGAUUAUUCAAAAAAUUUAUGCUCGGCUUUCUCUCAGUAAUCACUCCAUGCUCGAUACUUCUUGUACUGGAUCUUUUAUGAUGAAGACUAUUGAAUUCAAAUGGGAUUUAUUGGAAAGAAUUAAACGCAACUCUGAAUAUUGGGACCUCGACGAAGGUAAGGAGUCAGGUAUAACACCUAAGUUUGAUUGUGUUAAAUCUUUUAUGGAUACCGAUGCUUUCCGUGAAUUUAGCACUAAAUAUGGACUUGACUCUGAGAUAGUAGCUUCUUUCUGUGAAUCCUUUGAUACUCAUGUUGAUCUCCCUAAGGAGAAGUGGUUUAAAUAUAAUCCUCCCACUGAAGUAAAAGUAGUUGCACCUAUUAAAGUUGAAGAAAAGACUAUCACUUAUGAUGAUCCUGUUGUUCCUGCUGCUUAUAUUGAGAAGCCACCUUUCCCUGUUAGAAUAAAGGAUCAUGCUAAAGUUUCAACUGUGGUUAAAAAAAGUAACAUUAAGACACAUAAACCCCCUGAGAAAAUUAAAGUUGAACCUAAAAUUGCUAUGGUUAAAGAUCUCUUGGCCGAUAAUAUUAAUGGGCAUAUUUACUUCUGCAAUGAAGCUGCUAGAAUUGCUAGACCUGAUGCUAAAAAUAAACAUAGGCCUGUUGUAGGCAUGCCUGUUAUUUCCGUUAAAAUAGGAGAUCAUUGUUAUCAUGGCUUAUGUGAUAUGGGUGCUAGUGAAAGUGCAAUACCUCAUUCCUUAUACAAACAAAUUAUGCAUGAUAUUGUACCUGCUGAGAUAGAAGAUAUCGAUGUUACCAUUAAACUUGCCAAUAGAGAUACUAUUUCACUGAUUGGGAUUGUUAGAGAAGUUGAAGUCUUGUGUGGGAAGGUUAAAUAGCAUGCUGAUUUUCUUGUUCUUGGUUCCCCACAAGAUAGCUUUUGUCCCAUUAUAUUUGGUAGACCCUUCUUGAAUACUGUUAAUGCUAAGGUAGACUGCAACAAGGAUAUUGUUUCUGUUGGUAUAGGGGAUAUGUCUCAUGAGUUUAAUUUUGCUAAAUUUCAUAGACAACCCCAUGAUAAAGAAUUGCCUAGUAAAGAUGAAAUUAUUGGUCUCGCUUCUAUUGUCGUGCCUCCUACUGAUCCUUUAGAACAAUAUUUGCUAGACCAUGAAAAUGAUAUAUAUAUAUAUGAAUGAAAGAAGGGAAAUAGAUGAAGUAUUCUUUAAACAGGGACCUAUUCUGAAACACAACUUGCCUGUUGAAAUCCUAGGGGAUCCUCCUCCACCCAAGGGUGAUCCCGUGUUUGAGCUUAAACCAUUGCCUGAUACUCUUAAAUAUGCUUAUCUUGAUGAAAAGAAGAUAUAUCCUGUUAUUAUUAGUGCUAACCUUUCAAAGCACGAAGAAGAGAGAUUAUUGAAAACUCUGAAGAAGCAUCGUGCUGCUAUUGGAUAUACUCUUGAUGAUCUUAAGGGCAUUAGUCCCACUCUAUGUCAACACAAGAUAAAUUUGGAGAAAGAUGCCAAACCAGUUAUUGAUCAUCAACGACGGCUAAAUCCUAAGAUGAAAGAAGUGGUAAGAAAGGAAAUAUUAAAGCUCCUUGAAGCAGGUAUAAUUUAUCCCGUUGCUGAUAGUCAGUGGGUAAGCCCUGUCCAUUGUGUCCCUAAGAAAGGAGGUAUUACAAUCGUUCCUAAUGAUAAAGAUGAAUUGAUUCCGCAAAGAAUUAUUACAGGUUAUAGGAUGGUAAUUGAUUUCUGCAAAUUAAAUAAAGCUACUAAAAAUAUCAUUAUCCUUUGCCUUUCAUUGAUCAAAUGCUAGAAAGAUUAUCCAAACAUACACAUUUUUUCUUUCUAGAUGGUUACUCUGGUUUCUCUCAAAUACCUGUGUCAGUUGAUGAUCAAGAAAAGACUACUUUUACUUGCCCUUUCAGUACCUUUGCUUAUAGACGUAUGCCUUUUGGUUUAUGUAAUGCACCUGCUACCUUUCAAAGAUGCAUGAGGCUAUAUUCUCUGACUUUUGUGAAAAGAUUUGUGAAGUUUUCAUGGAUGAUUUCUCUGUUUAUGGAUCCUCUUUUGAUGAUUGCUUGAGAAACCUUGAUUGGGUUUUGCAGAGAUGUGAAAAAACUAACCUUGUCUUGAAUAGGGAGAAGUGCCACUUUAUGGUUAAUGAAGGUAUUGUCUUGGGGCAUAAAAUUUCUGAAAGAGGUAUUGAAGUUGACAAAGCUAAAGUUGAUGCUAUUGAAAAGAUGUCAUGUCCCAAGGACGUCAAAGGUAUAAGAAGUUUCCUUAGUCAUGCCGGUUUUUAUAGGAGGUUCAUUAAGGACUUCUCAAAAAAUUUCCGGCCUCUGACUAACCUAUUGCAAAAAGAUAUUCCUUUGGCCGUUGAUGAUGAUUGUGUAGAAGCAUUUGAAAUACUUAAGAAAGCCUUGAUUUCUUUACCCAUUGUUCAACCACCUGAUUGGAAUUUACCUUUUGAAAUUAUGUGUGAUGCUAGUGAUUAUGCUGUAGGGGCUGUCCUAGGACAAAGAGUUGAUAAAAAAUUAAAUGUUAUUCAAUAUGCUAGUAAAACUCUAGACAAUGCCCAGAGAAAUUAUGCUACUACUGAAAAGGAAUUCUUAGCAGUUGUAUUUGCUUGUGAUAAGUUCAGACCUUAUAUCGUUGAUUCUAAAGUAACUAUUCACACUGAUCAUGCUGCUAUUAAAUAUCUUAUGGAAAAGAAAGAUGCUAAACCUAGACUUAUUAGAUGGGUCCUCCUGCUACAAGAAUUUGAUUUGCAUAUUAUUGAUUGAAAGGGAGCUGAGAAUCCCGUUGUAGACAACUUGUCUAGGUUAGAGAAUGUUCUUGAUGACCCACUAUCUAUUGAUGAUAGCUUUCCUGAUGAACAAUUAGCUGUCAUAAAUGCUUCUCGCACUGCUCCAUGGUAUGCUGAUUAUGCUAAUUACAUUGUUGCUAAAUUUAUACCACCUAGUUUCACAUACCAACAAAAGAAAAGGUUCUUCUAUGAUUUAAGACAUUAUUUUUGGGAUGACCCACAUCUUUAUAAACGAGUAGAUGGUGUUAUUAGACGUUGUGUACCUGAGCAUGAACAGGAACAAAUCCUACAUAAGUGUCACUUUGAGGCUUAUGGAGGACACCAUGCUGGAGAUAGAACUGCACACAAGGUAUUGCAAUCCGGUUUUUAUUGGCCUACUCUCUUCAAGGAUGCCCGUAAGUUUGUCUUGUCUUGUGAUGAAUGUCAAAGAAUUGGUAAUAUUAGUAGACGUCAAGAAAUGCCUAUGAAUUAUUCACUUGUUAUUGAACCAUUUGAUGUUCGGGGCUUUGAUUAUAUGGGACCUUUUCCUUCCUCUAAUGGGUAUACACAUAUUUUAGUUGCUGUUGAUUACGUUACUAAGUGGGUAGAAGCUAUUCCAACUAGUAGUGUUGAUCAUAACACCUCUAUUAAGAUGCUUAAAGAAGUUAUUUUUCCGAGGUUUGGAGUCCCUAGAUAUUUAAUGACUGAUGGUGGUUCACAUUUUAUUCAUGAUGCCUUUCGUAAAAUGCUUGCUAAGUAUGAUGUUAAUCAUAGAAUUGCAUCUCCUUAUCACCCACAGUCUAGUGGCCAAGUAGAAUUAAGUAAUAAGAGCUUAAAUUAAUUUUGCAAAAGACUUAAUAGAUCUAGAAAGAAUUGGUCCAAGAAACUUGAUGAUGCAUUAUGGGCUUAUAGAACUGCAUACAAAAAUCCUAUGGGUAUGUCUCCGUAUAAAAUGGUUUAUGGUAAAGCAUGUCACUUACCUCUUGAACUAGAACAUAAGGCAUAUUGGGCCAUUAAAGAGCUCAAUUAUGAUUUCAAACUUGCCGAUGAGAAGAGGUUAUUUGAUAUUAGCUCACUUGAUGAAUGGAGAACCCAGGCCUAUGAGAAUGCCAAACUGUUUAAAGAAAAAGUUAAAAGAUGGCAUGAUAAAAGGAUACAAAAGCGUGAGUUUAAUGUAGGUGAUUAUGUAUUGCUAUACAACUCUCAUUUAAGAUUUUUUUGUAGGCAAACUUCUCUCUAAAUGGGAAGGUCCUUACGUCAUUGAGGAGAUCUAUCGUUCCGAUGCCAUAAAAAUCAACAACUUCGAAGGCACAAAUCCGAGGGUGGUGAACGGUCAGAGAAUCAAACAUUAUAUCUCAGGUAACCCUAUAAAUGUUGAAACUAAUGUUAUUGAAACCGUAACCCUGGAGGAAUACAUAAGGGACACUUUCUAGAACGUUUCAGACUCCGAAAAGGAAUAGGUACGUGGUACGGUAAGUAAACCGACUCCAAAACAGUUCUAAUGGCAAUUUUUCUCUGUUUUGAAUAUUUAAGAAAAUAGGAAAAUAAGAAGUAGACCGGAAAGGACACGAGGCUUCCACGAGGGUGGAGGGCGCGCCCUACCCCCUGGGCGCGCCCCCUGCCUCGUGGGCACCUCAUGUGCUUUCCGGACUCCGUUUUCUUGCACGAUACUUCUUUUGGUCAGUAAAAAUUCACUAUAUAAUCUCCCGAAGGUUUUGACCACCGUAUCACGCAAAUGUCUCCUGUCUUUGUUACGAGCUGUUUUUCUAACAGAUCUAGGUCGCCAUGUCGUCUUCAAGUGCCCCCAAGGACAAGUUCUUCGAGAAGGUCAUCAACCCCUACCUCACAGAGGUGCUGCAACACCCUCAAACCAUUGAGAUGCGUGAGGGGUUGUUGCACGUCCGCGAUGUUGAGGGACCAAGGAGGAUCAGAAGCACGGAGACAAGGCUCGAGGCAUUGGAGAAACAAGUUUUCAAGUGUCAGGAGAUGGUGGAGCGUGGACUCGACUCCAAUCACAUAAUGAUCACGGAGUUCACCAACAACCAUAAGCUGGACGCCAAGGACAUUGGGGAGGCCAUCUUCAAGCUUCACGAGAAAAUCGAGCGCCUCCAAGCCCAGAUCUAUGACCUGCAAAACCAAAACUGUGAGUAUGAAUAUAGAUUCAAGAGGAUGAGUUUGGCUGUAGAUUUGAGGAUCCCGGAGACUCGAUCACCCUUCUAUGAUGGUGAGCCUAUGCCUUGGAAGAUGGACGACAAGCCUACAUCAUCAACAACUCCUUCAUCACCACCUCCGAGGAAGGAAACAUAAACACAUGGGUAUGGGCACUCCCCUUGGCAACUGACAAGCUUGGGGGAGUGCCCCGGUAUUGUAUCACCAUCACACCUUUUAUCUUUACCUUUUUCUUAGUUCGAUCCUUCUGAUAAUAUCUUGAUCUAGUAGAAUAAAGUUUUAGUAUGAUCUAGUUGUGAGUUUUGCUUUAUGGUCCUUCUAUGUAAUCAAGUCUGUGAGCUAUAUAUAAUAAAGAUUAGUGUUGAGUCAAGGGCUUGAUUAUUUUGCUAUGAUCUUGAGGGAAUAAAAUAAAAGAGAAGAAAUAAAGAGAUCAUAUGGAUCUUAUGGAGAGUAUUGAUUUCACAUAUAGAGAGUAUGAUGAAUAAAAGUUGUUAAGAGUUGACAAACAUAGUUUUGGUCAUCGUUGCAAUUAAUAGGAAGUAAUAAAGAAAGAGAGGUUCACAUAUAAAUAUACUAUCUUGGACAUCUUUUAUAAUUGUGAGCACUCAUUAAAGUAUGAUAUGCUAAAGAGUUGACGUUGGACAAGGAAGACAACGUAAUGGGUUAUGUUUUCUUACAUCUGAGAUAAAUUAUAUUGUCAUGGAUCAUCCAACAUGUUGAGCUUGUGUCACAUCCCUGGUCCUGCUAUGCUCUAGGCUAGGCCUCAUGUGAGCAUCAUGUUUUAAUUCAAAUGAAAUUUGAAUUGAGGGAUUUUCAAAGCCUCAGAAAUCUUCUAAAAAUGAUCAACAUUAAAAUCUUCUCAAAGAAGUCCAAGAAAAUGUUCCUCUUAGUCUCUGAAAAUAUUGCAAAGAGGUAAAACUCAAAACAAUAUUUUCAGUAUCUCAGAGUUAAUUAUUUUGGGACAUUUGAAUUAAUCCAAUAACUAUUUGCUUUGGAUUUAUAUUUAAUAUAUAUUAAAUAUGACUCCAAUUAAUUCUGGAAGUUUGUGAGUGGCUUUGUAUAUAUUUUAGCAAGCCACAUAAAAACCUACAGAAUUUAUUAAAAUGAUUUAGUGUCUAAAACUAAAUCAAAACAAACUACAGAAAAUAGAAAACAGAAUUAAAUAGACAUAAAAGAGAGAGAGAGAAGGACUUAUCUGGCGCUCACCUGGUAGCCAGCCGGCCCAGCUCCUGUGUGGCCCAGCCCAUCUCCACUUCCCCCCCUGUCAUCUUCCUCCUCGCCAGAAGGACCGAGGCAUGGCGCGCGCGCCCGAGAGCCCCGGCCACCUCCUGCUUACCUGCUCGCCGCUGGAGGCACCUGAGGGUGCCACGCACUCCCCUCGACCCUCUCCUACUCUCCCGUGUCUCUCCCUCCGUCCCUAUCCUCCUCUGCUCCCUCUCUCUCGCCCGGACCGAACGGAGCCUCCGCCACCGACGAGCUCCCUCGUGGCCACCGCCACCCCCUCUCCUCUCCGACACGCUCCCGAGCUCCGCCGGUCCUCCCUCGUCCUCCUCGUCGUCUCACGCGACCAGAAGAGCCCCUGGAUGCCGCUAGCCUCGCCGUUCCCCUCCUCGGCCACCGAGGAUCGCCGUCGUCAAAUUCGUCGCCGUUCGGCCUUCCCCGAGCCCACCGAGCUGCUCGUUGACCUCGCCGUGAGCUCCUCUGCCAAACCCCUCUCUCCCCGUGCUCUAUUUCCCUCCGUAGCCGCCGUUACCAUCGCGGCCGAGAGCUUCUCGCCGCCGGCCAUGGCGUGGCCGUGGCCACAUCCACCGCAGCUCGCUCCUGAGCCCACCGUCAUGCUUAGCCCAGCACCAGGAGCUCGUAGCCACCACCCGCUCCUCCUCUAGUGCACCGUAGCCCCUUCUCCCCUCCCCGCCGAACUCCGGCCGCCGCAAAAGCUGUCGCCGUCGUCGAUUUAGCCCACUCCAUCGUGAGUUGUUGCCUCCGUUGGAUGCGCAAGACUCCUAGCUUUCCGUAGCCGCAAACCGCGUCCAAAACCACCGCCUGAAGCUCAAAUCCGAGCCGAGCCACCGUCUCGGGCCUCGCCGGCGUCGAGUCGCCGGCGGGGUUGACCCACUUGACCACGGCGGAACCCCCCCUGGGUCGAUGACAGGUGGGGCCAGCCCCUGUUAAUUAGUUUAGGUGUUAGAUUAGUUAACAUUAAUUAAGUUAGUUAAUUAUUUAAGCCACUGACAUGUGGGCCCAGCCCUGCUGACAUUUUCGUUAGUAUUAGUUUAACCCUAAUUAACCCAGUUAACCAACUGUGUCACUGACGUGUGGCCCCCACACGUCAGGUUUGACCUGGGGCGCCGAGUUGACCCUGCUGACGUCACUGUGACGUGGUGCUGACGCCAUAAUUCAUUUCUGGAUUUAUAUUAUUCAGGAAAUUCCAGAAAAUGCCUAAAACUUCUAAAAUUCAUAGAAAUUCAACCGUAACUCCAAAUUAAAUAAUUUAUAUAUGAAAAAUUAUCAGAAAAAUUCAAGGAAUCCAUCUGUACCAUUUUCAUGCAUGUUAGAACAACUUAUAGCUGCUGUUUAGCACAAACCAAUUAAAGGGCUUUUAAAUAAUCACAUAUGGAGUUUGAAUUUGAAUCUUGUAUUCAAACCAACUUCAUUUAAUCUGUUGCUAGUUUCAUUAGCCCAAAACACAUUCAUUUUGCCAUGUCAUGAUCAUGCAUCAUAUUGUGCAUUGCAUUGAUUGUGUUCCCUUCUGUGUUGCCGGUAUUUGUCCCCUCUCGAUAGACGUGAUACCGAUGAUGUGAUCGUUGACACUGAUGAAGACUCAAUGCUAUCUUCAGAAGUGCCAGGCAAGCAAAACCCCCUUGUUCAUUCCGAUACAAUCCUACUCUCUCGCUCCUGCUCUCUUUUACUGCAUUAGGACAACAACGAUUCAUCUGUUACUUGCUGCGGUAGCUGAACCCCUUUAUCCUUUGCAUGACCUGUCAUUCCACAGUAAAUAGAUGAAACCCACUAGUAUGAGUAGGAGUUGUUUGAGCCCUGUUGUGCCUACUCAUUCAUGUUUGUUUGUCAUGCCUGCUACUGCUUAGAGUUGAGUCAGGUCUGAUUCAUCGGGGAUGAAUCAGAGGUGUGUGAACAUGUCCUACUAUGUGUGAGCUAAGUGUGAACGUGAUUUGGUAAAAGGUAUCGGUGAGAGGCCAUGUAGGAGUACAUGGUGGGUUGUCUCAUUGAAGCCGUCCUCAGGAACUGAGUUCUGUGUUUGUGAUUCAUGAUUCAGCUACUACCAUACAUUGGGCCCUGAAAUAUGACCCCGCUCGACUUCUUAUUCACCCUAGUCCUCUGUCCAGGAGUUGCAAGUAGUUUCUGGUGUUUGUAGCUUACUGGAGGCCGUGGACAGCGCUGACCGUAGGGGUGGGCUGUGAUGCGGUAGGUACGUGGCACGGUGUACCGGAUGCCCGUUUGGUGUCUCGGGAACCCUGUUCACAUCGUUUGGGGCUGUGAGCGAAACUCCGGCCGGAUCUCCUCAUGGAUGGAACCCGAAUAGGCGAUAAACCUGGACUAGAGACUUGAGUGUUUAGGUAGGUCGUGGUCUACACCCACGUCGGCUUUCGCUUGAAGUCUGCCGAGCACAUGUCGUGUGCAGACGCUAAGUGGUGGAAACAUGUAUGAAGAAGUACACCCCUGCAGGGUUAACAUCAUCUAUUCGAAUAGCCGUGUCCGCGGUAAAGGACUUCUGGGUUGCUUAUAUCAGUUCAUAGACAAGUGAAAGUGGAUACUCUAAAAUACGCAAGAUAAGCGUGAGUGCUAUGGAUGGCGUUCUCGUAGGGAGACGAGAGCGGAUCCAUAGUGGUGUAUUGAUAUGGUGAAUAUGUGGACUCGUGUGCGCCACUUCAAAGAGUUACAUUGCAGUCGUAGUUUAGGAUAGCCACCGAGUCAAAGCUGGCUUGCUGCAGUUAAACCCCACCAUCCCCUUUGUUGAUAAUGAUGCAUAUGUAGUUAGUUCUGAUGUAAGUCUUGCUGGGUACAUUUGUACUCACGUUUGCCUAUUUUAUGUUUUUGCAGAGAGACUUUGGUCUCGCUAGUAGUUCCGCGUGGACUUCGACGUUUAGCUUGUUACCUCAGCUACGAUCUUGUGCCCCGGCAGGAUCUGGUAGAUAGUCAGGCUUCUCAGCCUUUUUCAGUUAUAGAUGUCUGUACUCAGACAUGAUAGCCUCCGCUUGUGCUUUGAUUUGUAUGCUCUGAUUGUUGGGUCAUGAGACCCAUGUUUGUAAUAUCUCGCUCCUUGGAGCCUAUUGAAUAAAUUACUUGAGUUAUAGAGUCAUGUUGUGAUGCCAUGUUGUAUUUGCACAUAUCGAGCAUAUUGUGUGUAUGUUGUUGAAAUGCUUGGCAUGUGUGGGAUCUGACCAUCUAGUUGUUUAUCUUUAGUAGCCUCUCUUACGGGGAAAUGUCUCCUAGUGUUUCCACCGAGCCAUGGUAGCUUGCCACUGCUCCGGAACACUUAGGCUGGCCGGCAUGUGUCCUUCUUCGUUCCUGUGUCUGUCCCUUCGGGGAAAUGUCACGCGAUGAAUACCGGAGUCCUGUUAGCCGCUACAGCCCGGUUCACCGGAGUCCUGCUAGCCCAGUGCUACAACCUGGAUUCACUCGCUGAUGACCGACACGUUCGAUGCUGGGUCAUGGAUGUCUGUCCCUGUAAGUCUGUGCCACUUUGGGUUUACGACUAGUCAUGUCAGCCCGGGCUCCUUAUCAUAUGGAUGCUAGCGACACUAUCAUAUACGUGUGCCAAAAGGCGCAAACGGUCCCGGGCAAAGGUAAGACGACACCCGUGGGAAUACCGUGCGUGAGGCCGCAAAGUGAUAUGAGGUGUUACAUGCUAGAUCGCUGUGGCAUUGAGUCGGGGUCCUGACAGCUUGCCUUUCCCUCUCUUGCUAGCCAAUUCUUUGCACCAAGUAGAAAUACUACUUGUGCUUCCAAAUAUCCCUAAACCCAGUUUUUCCAUGAGAGUCCACCAUAUCUACCUAUGGAUUGAGUAAGAUCCUUCUAGUAAGUUGUCAUCGGUGCAAGCAAUAAAAAUUGCUCUCUAAAUAUGUAUGAUUUAUUAGUGUGGAGAAAAUAAGCUUUAUACGAUCUUGUGAUAUGGAAGAAAUAAAAGCGAUGGACUUCAUAAUAAAGGUCCAUAUCACAAGUGGCAAUAUAAAGUGGCGUUCUUUUGCAUUAAGAUUUCGUGCAUCCAACCAUAAAAGCGCAUGACAACCUCUGCUUCCCUCUGGGAAGGGCCUAUCUUUUAUUCUUGUCUUAUACUUCAUGCAAAGAGUCAUGGUGAUAUUCACCUUUCCUUUUUACAUUUUAUCCUUUGGCAAGCACAAUGUGUUGGAAAGAUCCUGAUAUAUAUAGCUAAUUGGAUGUGAGUUUUCAUGAACUAUUAUUGUUGACAUUACCCUUGAGGUAAAACGUUGGGAGGCAAAACUAUAAGCCCCUAUCUUUCUCUCUGUUCGAUUAAAACUUCAUACCCAUAAAUAUUGCGUGAGUGUUAGCAAUUGUGAAAGACUAAAUGAUAGUUGAGUAUGUGGACUUGCUGAAAAGCUCUUAUAUUGACUCUUUCCUAUGUUAUGAUAAAUUGCAAUUGCCUCAAUGACUAAGAUUAGAGUUUGUUGGUUCUCAAUGAAGUUUAUGAUUCAUACUUGAAAUUGUGAUUGAAUUGUUACUUUAGCAUAAGAGAUCAUAUGACAAUAUAUAUACAUAUAUGUUGCUGCUCUAAGAAUGAUCAUGAUGCCCUCAUGUCCGUAUUUUAUUUUUAUCGACACCUCUAUCUCCAAACAUGUGGACAUAUUUUCGAUUUCGGCUUUCGCUUGAGGACAAGCGAGGUCUAAGCUUGGGGGAGUUGAUACGUCCAUUUUGCAUCAUACUUUUAUAUCGAUAUUUAUUGCAUUAUGGGAUGUUAUUACACAUUAUGUCACAAUACUUAUGCCUAUUCUCUCUUAUUUUACAAGGUUUGCAUGAAGAGGGGGAAUGCCGGCAGCCCGAAUUCUGGGCUGGAAAACGAGCAAAUAUUAGAGACCUAUUCUGCACAUCUCCAAAAGUCCUGAAACUUCACGGGAGCAUGUUUCAGAAUAUAUAAAAAAUACUGGGCAAAAGAAGUACCAGAGGGGGGCCACUCACCGUCCACGAGGGUGGGGGGCGCGCCCUACCCCCCUGGGCGCGCCCCCUACCUCGUGGGCCCCCUGGUGGCCCUCUGAUGCCCAUCUUCUGCUAUAUGAGGUCUUUCGUCCGAGAAAAAUGAUAAGCAAGCUCACGGGACAAAACUUCGCCGCCAUGAGGCGGAACCUUGGCGGAACCAAUCUAGGGCUCCGGCGGAGCUGUUCUGCUGGGGAAACUUCCCUCCGGGAGGGGGAAAUCAUCACCAUCAUCAUCACCAACGAUCCUCUCAUCGGGAGGGGGUCAAUCUCCAUCAACAUCUUCACCAGCACCAUCUCAUCUCAAACCCUAGUUCAUCUCUUGUAUCCAAUCUUUAUAUCCAAACCUCAGAUUGGUACCUGUGGGUUGCUAGUAGUGUUGAUUACUCCUUGUAGUUGAUGCUAGUUGGUUUACUUGGUGGAAGAUCAUAUGUUCAGAUCCAUCAUGCAUAUUAAUACCCCUCUGAUUCUGAACAUGAAUAUGCUUUGUGAGUAGUUACGUUUGUUCCUGAGGACAUGGGAGAAGUCUUGCUAUAAGUAGUCAUGUGAAUUUGGUAUUCGUUCGAUAUUUUGAUGAGAUUUAUGUUGUCAUCCCUCUAGUGGUGUUAUGUGAACGUCGACUACAUGACACUUCACCAUUGUUUGGGCCUAGAGGGAGGCAUUGGGAAGUAAAGUAGAUGAUGGGUUGCUAGAGUGACAGAAGCUUAAACCCUAGUUUAUGUGUUGCUUCGUAAGGGGCUAAUUUGGAUCCAUAUGUUUCAUGCUAUGGUUAGGUUUACCUUAAUACUUCUGUUGUAGUUGCGGAUGCUUGCAAUAGGAGUUAAUCAUAAGUGGGAUGCUUGUCCAAGUAAGGGCAAUACCCGAGCACCGGUCCACCCACAUAUCAAAUUAUCAAAGUACUGAACACGAAUCAUAUGAACGUGAUGAAAACUAGCUUGACGAUAAUUCCCUGUGUCCUCGGGGGCGCUUUCCUUCAUAUAAGAGUUUGUCCAAGCUUGUCCUUUGCUACAGAUUGGUCCAUCUUGUUGUACCUUAUUUACUUUUAUUACUUGCUACUCGUUACAAAUUACCUUAUCACAAAAUUAUCUGUUACCUAUAAUUUCAGUGCUUGCAGAGAAUACCUUACUGAAAACUGCUUAUCAUUUCCUUCUGCUCCUCGUUGGGUUCGACACUCUUACUUAUCGAAAAGUCUACGAUAGAUCCCCUACAGUUGUGGGUCAUCAUUGCUUCCUCGCUUGGCCGAGCUCCUCCUCGGUUCGCUCCAGUCAUUGCUUUAGUCCGGAGACUUCGGAAGUGUGUGGGGUCACGGCCAGCAACGACGCCUACUUAUUCAUAUAAGACAUAUUUUAGUUAGUUUCCUGCGAAAAAUCAAUUGAUCCUCUGUCCGGCUCAUCUUUCCAAACACCAAACAGUGUCUCGGGGGCUACUGUCUAUAUUGGGAUUUUCUCUUUUGCGUCGCUGACCUCAAAGCCUGUCAGCAGGCUGUCGUAGGCUUCGGUCAGUCCACUUUUGACGGACUGAACCUUCUCAAUCACCGUACCCAUAAGGAUACGGUGUUCAUCCACAAUGGAAGCGCCUCGUGGCGCUUCCAGCAGAUUAUCCGGUGCCUCUGGUUGGACAGAGGUCACCGGCGGAAUAGGCACGCCCCCUUCUUUUGAAGGAGGUUGCUCGCCAAAUUCCGGAGCCAUAUAGGUCUCCGGACUUGUAUUCGGCUGGGGGCCGAACUGAGCAAAGCCCUCGUCCCCAGUCGCCAUGGGGGUCUGCUCCCCCAUGUGUUCUACAGCCGAGGUUUCGGCCUCUGGCACCACCCUGGCGGCCUCCCAAACCUCUCCCUAGCCUGGGAAGGUCCUUUGGGACAACACCUUGUCGUCGCCCUUGGCCGUGGGGGAGUGAGUGGCCAACGGUGACUCGCUGGCCAUCGCCUUCGAAUCCAGCAAACCUCUUGAUGAGGAUCGCUGGGAGCUGUCGUGGGCCGGACUGAAAUGACAUCAUUUAAACAUAUCAAUAUAAUGAAGCAAGAGAGGCCGGAUAUAGGGACGUGUGCGGGUUCUUAGUACUUACGACGUAGCCAGGGGCUUGUUUCGGGGGCGUCGCUCCGGGCUGCUGUCUACGUCCCACGCGGUGUUAUCCGCGAGGGGACCCUUCCCCCUCUUGGGCGCCUCCGCCUCCAGAUUGGUGGAGGCCGCCCUCUUCUUCCUCCCCCCAUCAAGGGGGGGGGGUGCUUUCCUCCUCCUCCUCCUUGUCAUCGUCUUCGGCGACGGAGGAGUGAGUCUUGUCUUCGGACGAUACGUCCGAAGCUCCCUGGCAGCAGGGGCCACUCCGGAUCCCCUUGGCAUCUUCUUGGCCUUCUUCUCCGGCGCCUUAUAGGGCGCCGGUACCAGCAUCUUCGCUAGGAGUAGGAUGACUGGUUCCUCGGGCAGCGGAGCCAAAUAUCGAAUUCUCUCCGCUCUCUCCAUCCAUAUCUGAAAUAAUAAAUUUUAGAUAUCUUCCUUGAAACAAGCAAGUAGAGGAUGCGUCUAGAGACGUUAACGGCUUACCUCGUUGGCAGAAUGGGUAAUGUCGUGCCCGCGGUCCGAGUCUAUGGUUGGCGGCGUCUCGUUGCCCUUAAAGAGCAACUUCCAGGCAUCUUCAUGAGUGGUUCCGAAGAGCCUUUCCAAGGUUUGGUGCUUCUUCGGGUCGAAUUCCCAUAAGGGGCAGCUUCGGCUUUGGCAUGGGAGAAUCCAGCGAACCAGCAUCACCUGGAUUACGUCGACGAGCUUGAUGGUUUUAUCCAUCAUGCUUUGAAUGCGCGUUUGCAGCGCUAUCAACUCGUCUGACGAAGACCAAUUUGGGCCCUUCUCCAUCCAGGAGGUGAGCUUUGAAUUCGGAAGCCGCGACCCAAUUGGCGCCGCGGGGCUCUGUGAUAUAGAACCACAGUUUCUGCCACCCUUGACGGUCUCCACAAAAGUACCCUUGGGCCAUGUGACAUUGGGCAGCUUGCUCACCAUGGCGCCUCCGCACUCCGCGUGCUGGCCAUCCACCACCUUCGGCUUCAUGUUGAAAAUCUUGAGCCACAGUCCGAAGUGGGGUUGGAUGCGGAGGAAGGCCUCACACACGACAAUGAAUGCCGAGAUGUUGAGGAAGGAGUUCGGGGCUAGAUCAUGGAAAUCUAGCCCGUAAUAGAAUAUAAGCCCGCGUACGAAAGGGUGGAGAGGAAACACUAACCCGCGGAUGAAAUGGGGGAUUAAGACCACCCUCUCGUUGGGCUUCGGGGUGGGGACAAUUUGUCCCUUGGCUGGAAGCCGGUGAGUGAUUUCUUUCGCCAGAUACCCGGCCUCCCGAAGCUUGGUGAUGUCCUUCUCCCUAACGAGGAGGCCAUCCACUUGCCUUGCCCUCUAGAUUCGUACAUGGUUGAGUGCUUCCUAAGGGCGGAAAGAAUGAGGACUUGGGCGCUGGAGCUCGAGGAUGGAAGGGCAGAGGAAGAGAGAAGGUGUGGGUGAAGAAAGGGGAAUCCUUAUCUCCUUAUAAAGGCAGUGAAUAUCAAGCGCCUCCCCACUCGCCUUAAAACUCACCUGUUCCCAAGGGCUGUGUAAAUAGCACAACUAUAUUACCCAUGCCCGUAUUGAUGAGAAUCCCGCAAUAAGGGGACACGAUCUUUGCUUUGACAAGACGUGCCUAUUAAAACCACGUCUCGAAACAUGGAACGGCAGACGAAAAACGAUUCAAAAUGAUAACCAAGCAAACGUGAUGUCACAUUACAAAAAGUUGUCAGCGGAUUGGACUCGUGUAAUAUUAUAUUCUCUGCGGUUGUGUGUGGUACUUGUGUUACGGAUCCGGACAUGUUCAUUAUGACCGAAAACUAUCUUGGAGUAUUCGGAAAGGGGAACCCGCCUUGCAAUGCCGAAGAUAGUCUGCACGCUGGACACCUCGUCAUUGAUGAUUGGUUCAGGGGCUACUGAGGGAGUCCUGGACUAAGGGGUCCUCGGGCGUCCGACCUAUUAGACAUGGUCCAAACUGAUGGGCUGUGAAAAUACGAAGAUCGAAGACUCUACCCAUGUCCGGAUGAGACUCUCCUUGGCAUGAAAGGCAAGCUUGGUGUCCGAAUAUGAAGAUUCCUUUCUCUGUAACCGACCUUGUGUAACCCUAGAUCCCUCCGAUGUCUAUAUAAACCGGAGGGCUAGGUCCGUAGAGAGAUCCUCAUAAUCAUAGUUAGAUAGGCUAGACUUUUAGGGUUUAGCCAUCACGAUCUCGUGGUAGAUCAACUCUUGUAAUGCUCAUAUUCAUCAAGAUCAAUCAAGCAGGAAGUAGGGUAUUACCUUCAUAGAGAGGGCCCGAACUUGGGUAAACAUUGUGUCCCUUGUCUCGUCUUACCAUCAACCUUAGACGCACAGUUCGGGACCCCCUACCCGAGAUNNNNNNNNNNNNNNNNNNNNNNNNNNNNNNNNNNNNNNNNNNNNNNNNNNNNNNNNNNNNNNNNNNNNNNNNNNNNNNNNNNNNNNNNNNNNNNNNNNNNNNNNNNNNNNNNNNNNNNNNNNNNNNNNNNNNNNNNNNNNNNNNNNNNNNNNNNNNNNNNNNNNNNNNNNNNNNNNNNNNNNNNNNNNNNNNNNNNNNNUAUCCGAAACUAUCCGAAACACUUCCAGUGUCCGAAUAACAUGGUCCAAUAUACCAAUCUUUAUGUGUCGACCAUUUUGAGACUCCUCAUCAUGUCUGUGAUCUCAUCCGAGACUCCGAACAACCUUCGGUACAUCAAAUCACAUAACUCAUAAUACAAAUCGUCAUCGAGCGUUAAGCGUGCGGACCCUACGGGUUCGAGAACUAUGUAGACAUGACCGAGACACAUCUCCGGUCAAUAACCAAUAGCGGAACCUGGAUGCUCAUAUUGUCUCCUACAUAUUCUACAAAGAUCUUUAUUGGUCAAACCGCAUUACAACAUACGUUGUUCCCUUUGUCGUCGGUAUGUUACUUGCCCGAGAUUCGAUCGUCGGUAUCAUCAUACCUAGUUCAAUCUCGUUACCGGCAAGUCUCUUUACUCGUUCUGUAAUGCAUCAUCCCGGAACUAACUCAUUAGUCACAUUGCUUGCAAGGCUUAUAGUGAUGUGCAUUACCGAGAGGGCCCAGAGAUACCUCUUCGACAAUCGGAGUGACAAAUCCUAAUCUCGAUCUAUGCCAACUCAACAAACACCAUCAGAGACACAUGUAGAGCAUCUUUAUAAUCACCCAGUUAAGUUGUGACGUUUGAUAGCACACUAAGUGUUCCUCCGGUAUUCAGGAGUUGCAUAAUCUCAUAGUCAUAGGAACAUGUAUAAGUCAUGAAGAAAGCAAAUAGCAAUAAACUAAACGAUCAUAGUGCUAAGCUAACGGAUGGGUCUUGUCCAUCACGUCAUUCUCUAAUGAUGUGAUCCCGUUCAUCAAAUGACAACACAUGUCUAUGGCUAGGAAGCUUAACCAUCUUUGAUCAAAACGAGCUAGUCUAGUAAAGGCAUACUAGGGACACUUUGUUUGUCUAUGUAUUCACACAUGUACUAAGUUUCCGGUUAAUACAAUUCUAGCAUGAAUAAUAAAUAUUUAUCAUGAUAUAAUGAAAUAUAAAUAACAACUUUAUUAUUGCCACUAGGGCAUAUUCCUUUAGUCCUUUUAGGUAGGAGGCACUCACACAGUUGUCUCAUGAACUCCAACUUCCUCCUUCCCAAAAAUAAUGCAGUUGAUGCAGUCCAGCCUCACCCUCGCAUGUCCUAGUCGUUCUCAUGCUGACUCUAUGAAGCUAAAGAAGAAGCGACUGUAGAGUCGUUGAUGAGUCAUGUCGUGAAGUUGCACUCGCUUCAACCCCCGGCCAGUGUGGAAGGGUGAUCCAUACAGAAAAUGGCAAAGGAGGUGGCGCUAUGGCAAGCAAGAGGCAACCAAAUGGCAAGAGGACUGCGUCAGCAACCGGGCAAGAGGCAUUCUGCUUCCGGUUCAAGGCACCUCGGAGGCUUCUUAGAGGGUCAGAGCCCGAAGGCUCUAAGACACCUCGGAGUACCCAAGACUAAACAGGAGCAAACCCGCUUAGCUCGGAGGCCACUUGGAGUGUCCGAAGCACCUCCUAGCCUCACCGGAGAGGACUCAUACAUCUUAAUGGGCUCUCUCUUCCAUGGGAUGUGCGUGUUUUGGCUUUGGCUUUGGUUUUGGUUCAUCAAUCCCCACAUCUCAAUCAAUGGUGUGUCCCCUCUUUAUAGCAUGGCAUACCUAUGACUCAAGGAUGAGAAACCAUCGAUAGAAAACUAGCUUGUCGUCUUCUUUAUCCUUUUUGCUUAGGGGAUUGCCGACCAACCAUAUGUUUCAUUUCGCAUAUUUGUUUAUCUUGUGUAAGCAUUCAAAACAUAUUUAGUCUUCUAAACAUAGUGCCAUUAACACAUAAAACCCUUCAUUAGGAGUUUGAUAUCCUUUUAGGAGGCAGUGCUCCCACGGUUGUAUGAAGACCUCCAACUCCCUCCUUGCCAAAACCAAUGUAGUUGAUGCAGUCCAGCCUUGUCCUCGCAAGUCCUAGUCAUUCUCACGCUAACUCCAUGAAGCUACAGGAGAAGCGACAGUUGAGUCGCCGACGAUUCAUGUCGUGAAGUUGCACUCGUUUCACCCCCGGCCUGUGUGGAAGGAAGAUCCACACAGAAAAGGCAAAGGCAGUUCUAUGGCAAGCAGGAGGCAGCCAAAUGGUGAGAGGAUGGCAUCAACCAACGGGAAGGAGUGAAUGAGAGGGUGAGGAAAUCACGAGGAGAAAAGCGUGUGGUGGCAACAAGAUCGAAAUCCGCGAGGCCAUGCACGAGACUUUGUUUUUUUGCUUGCGUUGUGAGGAAACAAACAUAUUAAUACGGUAAACAGAUCAGAUGGCUUGGUUGCUGAAACUAAUGAGGAGUGCCAGAAUAAGCACACCUACUAAGAUUUUAAAUUGUUGCCAUCCUUGGUCUCCUUGUCCCUUCACACAUCAAGUUCCCCUAUGGAAAAUAGCACAAAAACCCAACCAAGGGCAGAAAUAUGAGAUAACCAUGUUAGGAUCUUAUGGCAGGAAACAAAAGAAUGUCGGAACCGAUGACAAUGCAAAUUACAACCAGUUUCUCAUUUUUCAUUGAGGGUUCUAUGUAAUCAGUAAAAAACAUUAAGAGUGUGAGAAAAAAACUUGCACACCAAACAAACAUUGAAUCGCGUCCUAGACAUAUCGAUAACUAAGAGUCUAAGAUACAUAUUGAUAUGAUUGAUAAUCACUGAAGUUCCACCGAACAGUGUUAUGAACCUUGACAACCUUUCUUAGUGUAUGUGUUACUAAUAGUAAAGCGAUGAAGCUUUGUUCAUUGUGCAAACAAGAGAGCAUGCCAAAAAGGCAAAAACUAAGAGUGCUCCCAAAAACUACUUUUCGUACAAAGAUUGUUUGCCUCAACUUGAAAGAAAAUCUGACGGGCAAUUUAUUUUUUUGUCGGCAAAAUUAACCCCUUAUCAUUUUCAAGCCUCCACAACCAUUUCCAGAAAAAUCUUAUUCAUCAUUGGCAAGUUAAGAGCAGACAUUUGAUUGGGGGUACACAUUGACUAGGUAGUCUUUUUGUGCGUUGCCACAAAAGUCUGCCAUAAAAAAAUUGUUCCUUUUUUGACAUUUUUUAGGGCUAUAAGAGAGAAGCAUGUAGAAAGGGUGUUGUAUUGCUACUUACACUAGAUUUGAGAAGAACUAAUCUUCCACAUAUAAAGAACAAAUUCUCUUGCCAACACAUAGAUAUUUAAGACCAACGAUUCCAUUUUUCACUAUUUGGCUUUCAAGAAAGCGAAGCCGACAAACAAGGUACACAAAUUGGAGAGAUCAAUUAACCAUACCAACAUACUCCAUAGAACUACACAUACUGUUAAUAUAAUAAUACUGGAAUGGUAGGUAGCUACUCAUAGAUAACAACAAAACAUAGAACAGUCCGGUGAAUAAAAUGGGAAUAGCAGAUUCUUCGAAGGGCGGCCAACAUAAGCGAGGUCCACCAUAAAAAAUCUCCAUGUUUGCAUUUCGGGGAAGCUUGAGUUGGCUUUUGAGAUGACGAGGAUGGAACUCGAGAGCAAAA
This 44134-nucleotide long non-coding RNA is filed under the name Triticum aestivum (bread wheat). RNAcentral describes it as "long non-coding RNA (TAES_LNC001038)". The record is from RNAcentral. Lineage: Eukaryota; Viridiplantae; Streptophyta; Magnoliopsida; Poales; Poaceae.